RNAcentral lists this long non-coding RNA (933 nucleotides) under Theobroma cacao (cacao). RNAcentral's name for it is "long non-coding RNA (TCAC_LNC002136)". Lineage: Eukaryota; Viridiplantae; Streptophyta; Magnoliopsida; Malvales; Malvaceae. The record is from RNAcentral.
AAAAGUUUGACAACACUCGAUGGGUCCGCCGCCUGCAGAAAAAGGAUCACCAAAAAAUUUGACUUUUGAAGUCUGCAUCGACUGUUCUUACUUCGCUAACAUUACAAUUAGAAAAGUAGAAAACCUAGAAAGGAUUUUGAUAUUAGAAAAAGAAAAAGGAAUGCUGCUGGAAGUUGCAGUAGACUAGAAUUAUCUCCAAAUAUUAAAGGUUGAUGAUUCUUGCAUUAUAACAUGAAAUUCAAUCGAAUCCUUUACUACUUAUCUUGUGAGUGGAGCUCAGACAGCAAUUGACAACUCCCAUAUGCAGUUUCGUCCUAAAUUUCUGAAUCGAUCCCACCAUAAGAGAUCGAUUAUUGCAAUCACUUAAUAGAUGUUCCUGCCCCCACUACAUAUAAAAGCGACCCGACCUGUGGAAAAAACAAAAAAGAAAAGACAAAAUGACUCAAAAUCAGAGUUUUUAUCAGAAAAGGAAAAUUAAAGUCAGUCUCCACGAUACAGGUGCCCCCACUAGGAUCACAACAAUAUUUGGGAAUCAUUACACAAAAUAUCAAAAAGGUCAAAGAAUUAUUGGGAAGGUUUUGUCCACUAAAUCGAAGGAAGAUAUACCUUUUUUUUUUUAUUUUUUGGACGUUUGAUGUGUAAGGUUUUAGCACUGAAAUUAGUUAAGAUAGAAAAAUUACGUAGAAAACUUUGUAUUUCACAGUAACAUUUUUUUUUUUUUUGCUACUCGUAAAAUAGGAGAGCACAAUUGGAGGAUAAAAAAAAAAAGACAAAUUAAAUGGGACUUACCGUGCAUGUUCUGAACUCUGAAGAGAGAACCAAUAUCGUUAUUAAAUGGGACGAUAUAGGAUCCGAUUCAAUGACAACUUUGUAAUAAUGAUGGUAAAUUACUUAUUCUGCUUCGUCUUGGUAGUGAGUAUGGCAGAAGCUGUA